This 305-nucleotide ribosomal RNA is filed under the name uncultured bacterium. Its description in RNAcentral is "bacterial SSU rRNA". It matches the Rfam family "Bacterial small subunit ribosomal RNA", at positions 336 to 639 of the family's 1533-position model. The record is from RNAcentral.
CCCCUACGGGGGGCAGCAGUGAGGAAUAUUGGUCAAUGGCUGCAGGGCUGAACCAGCCAAGUCGCGUGAGGGAUGACGGUCCUAUGGAUUGUAAACCUCUUUUGUCAGGGAGCAAAGGGCGCCACGUGUGGCGUUUUGCGAGUACCUGAAGAAAAAGCAUCGGCUAACUCCGUGCCAGCAGCCGCGGUAAUACGGAGGAUGCGAGCGUUAUCCGGAUUUAUUGGGUUUAAAGGGUGCGUAGGCGGUCCGUUAAGUCAGCGGUAAAAUCGCGGGGCUCAACCUCGCUCCGCCGUUGAAACUGGCGU